This 494-nucleotide ribosomal RNA is filed under the name uncultured bacterium. Its description in RNAcentral is "partial 16S ribosomal RNA". It matches the Rfam family "Bacterial small subunit ribosomal RNA", at positions 28 to 507 of the family's 1533-position model. The record is from RNAcentral.
GACGAACGCUGGCGGCGCGCUUAACACAUGCAAGUCGAACGGAAAGGCCUGCUUUCCCUUGUGGAUUGCGGGUACUCGAGUGGCGAACGGGUGAGUAACACGUGAGUGAUCUGCCCCCAACUUGGGUAUAAGCCUGGGAAACUGGGUCUAAUUCCCGAUAGGACUGCAGGGUGGCGCCUGUGGUGGAAAACGAUUUUCUAGUGGUUGGGGAUGAGCUCGCGGCCUAUCAGCUUGUUGGUGGGGUAAUGGCCUACCAAGGCGGCGACGGGUAGCCGGCCUGAGAGGGUGGACGGCCACAUUGGGACUGAGAUACGGCCCAGACUCCUACGGGAGGCAGCAGUGGGGAAUAUUGCACAAUGGGCGGAAGCCUGAUGCAGCGACGCCGCGUGGGGGAUGACGGCCUUCGGGUUGUAAACUCCUUUCGACCGCGAGGAAGCCACCUGGUUGGAAGGGUGGUGACGGUAGUGGUAGAAGAAGCACCGGCUAACUACGUG